Nothobranchius furzeri (turquoise killifish) is the source of this 1112-nucleotide non-coding RNA. The record is from RefSeq and is a predicted model, not a curated record. Lineage: Eukaryota; Metazoa; Chordata; Actinopteri; Cyprinodontiformes; Nothobranchiidae.
UCUAUUUUUUUCAGGCUAAAACUACCCAAGACAUUGGCUGUCAGACUGAUUUAGCUGCAAGAAUGCACUUGUCCAGGCUGUCGUGAAGCCUUACCGGUGUAGCAAAGGUGAAUUAUUUUUAAUAAUCUUCUAUGUAAACAUUUAAUUACCUUCUAGUUUUGAUUUGUUUUACAGAUUAUUGUUACACGUGAUUUUAUGCUCUUUUAAACAUUUAUAAAUGUGCUGCUUCUUUGUUUUUUACAUAGCCACCCAGAAUAGAGCUCACAGCCACUGUGUGUCUUGUGACACAGGGACCAUGACGGAAAUUCAUCUUCCAGAAAGUCCCAGAGCUGCAUCCACACCCCUGAAAAGACCAAGAUGUGAGGUGUCUGCUGUUGAUUCCAGCUUCCACCUCAGUGACAGUGCAAGCUCAGUGAACUGUUCAAGGAGGCUACUGAUUCUGCCCCUGACACUUGGUGGUGACGUGUGAGCUGAUUCACCUGCCUGGCUGAUCACCUGAUAACUCCUGUCAUCUGGUUGUGACAGCAUGAGGAUGUCCUCACACACCUGUAACCUAUCAGCUCAUCUGGCAGAAUAGAGAGAGAAGAGACAACACUACAUCUCCUGUUCCUGGAAAGCCUUCAGCCAUCCUUCGAUGACUGAGAACCUCCAUCAGCUCUGUCUCAGGCAGAUUCUUCUGGAAGCUCCUGAUCCUGACGACCCCACCAGAGGAGACCAGCUGCAGACACCAGAGGAUCACCUACGACCAAGAGAGCAGCUGGUAUCAGUAAAUAAAUAAUGAAAUCAGGGCAGCUUUAGUGGGCUGUUUGGGAUUGUGUAGCAUAAAUGAACACACUGCAGAAUAAUUUUCUCAUGGGGUAUUUUCAUAACUUUCUAUGCAGCAAACUGUAACUUGAGCCCAGGGCUCCUGGAGAGCUGCUAUCCAGCACGUUUCAGUGGUUUUUCUGGCUUCAACAUGUUAGAUUAGCUGUUAAGCAGCUCAGCUAUUUGCUGCUGAUUAAAACCAGGUGUGUUGAAGCAGAUAAACCUCUUAAACAUGCUGAAUACUAGCUCUCUUGGCCCAUGGAGCCAAACCCUGCAGCUAAUCUAAUGCUAUGGCUCACAGCUACUUA